UCCCAUAUAGUGUAGUGGUUGAACAUGGUCGCCUUUCAAUUUCUUUGGCCUGAAUCGCGACAGCCCGGGGUUCGAUUCCCCGUAUGGGAA
Non-coding RNA from Mycena amicta, 90 nucleotides. The record is from the annotation of a GenBank genome assembly. NCBI's taxonomy places the organism in Eukaryota, Fungi, Basidiomycota, Agaricomycetes, Agaricales, Mycenaceae.